AUCUUUGCAUGGAUGAUGAUACGUUAAGUUCUAUGAAAA
RNAcentral lists this small RNA (39 nucleotides) under Plasmodium falciparum 3D7. RNAcentral describes it as "Pfa-mtR40a". The record is from RNAcentral. Lineage: Eukaryota; Apicomplexa; Aconoidasida; Haemosporida; Plasmodiidae.